Molecule: ribosomal RNA, 253 nt
Filed under: uncultured bacterium
Lineage: Bacteria
Description: partial 16S ribosomal RNA
Rfam family: Bacterial small subunit ribosomal RNA
Source: RNAcentral
UACGUAGGGGGCAAGCGUUGUCCGGAUUUAUUGGGCGUAAAGAGCGUGUAGGCGGUUUGGUAGGUCCGCUGUGAAAACUCGAGGCUCAACCUCGAGACGCCGGUGGAAACCAUCAGGCUAGAGUCCGGAAGAGGAGAGUGGAAUUCCUGGUGUAGCGGUGAAAUGCGCAGAUAUCAGGAAGAACACCCGUGGCUAAGGCGGCUCUCUAGUACGGUACUGACGCUGAGGCGCGAAAGCGUGGGGAGCAAACAGG